Molecule: ribosomal RNA, 1132 nt
Filed under: Glutamicibacter sp.
Lineage: Bacteria; Bacillati; Actinomycetota; Actinomycetes; Micrococcales; Micrococcaceae
Description: bacterial SSU rRNA
Source: RNAcentral
GCAAGUCGAACGAUGAAGCCUAGCUUGCUGGGUGGAUUAGUGGCGAACGGGUGAGUAACACGUGAGUAACCUGCCCCUGACUCUGGGAUAAGCCUGGGAAACUGGGUCUAAUACCGGAUAUGACCUCUUGCCGCAUGGUGGGUGGUGGAAAGAUUUAUCGGUUGGGGAUGGACUCGCGGCCUAUCAGCUUGUUGGUGGGGUAAUGGCCUACCAAGGCGACGACGGGUAGCCGGCCUGAGAGGGUGACCGGCCACACUGGGACUGAGACACGGCCCAGACUCCUACGGGAGGCAGCAGUGGGGAAUAUUGCACAAUGGGCGCAAGCCUGAUGCAGCGACGCCGCGUGAGGGAUGACGGCCUUCGGGUUGUAAACCUCUUUCAGUAGGGAAGAAGCGUAAGUGACGGUACCUGCAGAAGAAGCGCCGGCUAACUACGUGCCAGCAGCCGCGGUAAUACGUAGGGCGCAAGCGUUAUCCGGAUUUAUUGGGCGUAAAGAGCUCGUAGGCGGUUUGUCGCGUCUAUCGUGAAAGACCAGGGCUCAACCCUGGUUCUGCGGUGGGUACGGGCAGACUAGAGUGAUGUAGGGGAGACUGGAAUUCCUGGUGUAGCGGUGAAAUGCGCAGAUAUCAGGAGGAACACCGAUGGCGAAGGCAGGUCUCUGGGCAUUUACUGACGCUGAGGAGCGAAAGCAUGGGGAGCGAACAGGAUUAGAUACCCUGGUAGUCCAUGCCGUAAACGUUGGGCACUAGGUGUGGGGGACAUUCCACGUUUUCCGCGCCGUAGCUAACGCAUUAAGUGCCCCGCCUGGGGAGUACGGCCGCAAGGCUAAAACUCAAAGGAAUUGACGGGGGCCCGCACAAGCGGCGGAGCAUGCGGAUUAAUUCGAUGCAACGCGAAGAACCUUACCAAGGCUUGACAUGUUCCAGACCGCUCCAGAGAUGGGGUUUCCCUUCGGGGCUGGUUCACAGGUGGUGCAUGGUUGUCGUCAGCUCGUGUCGUGAGAUGUUGGGUUAAGUCCCGCAACGAGCGCAACCCUCGUUCCAUGUUGCCAGCACGUAGUGGUGGGGACUCAUGGGAGACUGCCGGGGUCAACUCGGAGRAAGGUGGGGAUGACGUCAAAUCAUCAUGCCCC